RNAcentral lists this unclassified non-coding RNA (334 nucleotides) under soil metagenome. RNAcentral describes it as "partial contains 5.8S ribosomal RNA, internal transcribed spacer 2, and large subunit ribosomal RNA". The stretch from base 1 to 119 matches the Rfam family "5.8S ribosomal RNA", at positions 35 to 154 of the family's 154-position model. The record is from RNAcentral.
GAUGAAGAACGUAGCGAAAUGCGAUAAGUAUGUGAAUUGCAGAAUUCAGUGAAUCAUCGAAUCUUUGAACGCACAUUGCGCCCGCCAGUAUUCUGGCGGGCAUGCCUGUUCGAGCGUCAUUUCAACCAUCAAGCCCCCGGCUUGUGUUGGGGACCUGCGGCUGCCGCAGGCCCUGAAAACCAGUGGCGGGCUCGCUAGUCACUCCGAGCGUAGUAAUACAUCUCGCUCAGGGCGUGCUGCGGGUUCCGGCCGUUAAAAAGCCUUAUUUACCCAAGGUUGACCUCGGAUCAGGUAGGAAGACCCGCUGAACUUAAGCAUAUCAAUAAGCGGAGGA